GGCCUGAUAGUUCAGUGGUAGAAUUCUUGCUUUGGGAGUGUCUUUGAUGCUACAAAGUUGUAAGAGGGUAUGUCAUCUAAUAUCACAUGAUAUGUGUAGCAGCGCUAAUAACCACGCCAGUCUCCGGUUCGAUCCCGGAUUAGGCCC
Cadophora sp. M221 is the source of this 147-nucleotide non-coding RNA. The record is from the annotation of a GenBank genome assembly. Lineage: Eukaryota; Fungi; Ascomycota; Leotiomycetes; Helotiales; Ploettnerulaceae.